Molecule: ribosomal RNA, 492 nt
Filed under: uncultured bacterium
Lineage: Bacteria
Description: bacterial SSU rRNA
Rfam family: Bacterial small subunit ribosomal RNA
Source: RNAcentral
GCGUGUCUUAAGCAUGCAAGUCGUGCGGCAAGGGCAGCAAUGCCCCUAGAGCGGCGGACUGGUGAGUAACGCGUGGGUGAUCUGCCCUUGGGAUGGGGAUAGCCACUAGAAAUAGUGGGUAAUACCGAAUACGUUCCCCCGGCUGUGGUUGGGGGAGGAAAAGCGCUUCGGCGCUGCCCGAGGAUGAGCCCGCGUCCCAUUAGCUAGUUGGCGGGGUAAAGGCCCACCAAGGCGAUGAUGGGUAGGCGGCCUGAGAGGGUGUACGCCCACACUGGGACUGAGAUACGGCCCAGACUCCUACGGGAGGCAGCAGCUAAGAAUAUUCCGCAAUGGACGAAAGUCUGACGGAGCGACGCCGCGUGGAUGAAGAAGGCCGAAAGGUUGUAAAGUCCUUUUGUCGAUGAAGAAUAAGUGUGGUAGGGAAUGACCGCAUGAUGACAUUAGUCGGUGAAUAAGCCCCGGCUAAUUACGUGCCAGCAGCCGCGGUAAUAC